GGUAAAGACAGAAGAAAAGAGUUCAUUAUGUCCAGUUAAUCAAAAAGAUUUUCUCUCAUUGAGAGAAUCAGCAUUUACUCUAGGAGAGAUUUGGAGAUCAUGUUGUUCUGUCUCCUCAUUUUUCAGAGAAAAAGAGACCUAUCCAGAGAGUCUUCUAAAUGCAACAACACCAACACCACCUGCACUGUUUACUAUCCAAGACAAAGGCUUUGGAGAAAUGUGUGGUCCUCUUGCCUUACAUCCUCCACUCUCAGGUACCCCUGCUACUGAGAACAACAUCCAUGCCCAAGUGGUAACUGCCAACAUGGGUCAGCAUCUCACCUCUGAGUAAUAAGGAAGUCCACGACAGAGACCUGAAAUCCCAUGGUGAAAUAUCUACCCAAGGGUCUUGGAUGCUCAAGGAGAGCUGCAGAAGAGCUAAACUUCAACAGAUUUUGGUGCUUCCAGGCCAGAAGUUUUAUACACAUAAAAAGAAAUACCUGUCUUACCUGAGUUGUAAUAAUCAUAACAAGUAUGAAGAGUCGUCAGUCAAAAACAAUGAUUAGACUGGGUUACCCUUGACUUUCCAAACAUAAUGCAGGGCAGAACUUUUCCUGAAAACCCUGAAGUUCAGAUGUUUACAAUUACAGGCAAUGAGGCUCAAAGAGCCAGCCUCAUGGAUCACUUGUGUUUUAUUUUUGGUUUUGUUUUCAUUAGAUGCAACACUGAGCUGAGCCAUGUGCCUUCCCAGGAAUUGCACAAUCUCAGCUUUUAGAGAUUGUGUUUCAUGGUCAUGGAAAAAAAUAAUUGGAUUUAAUAGGUUUUCACAAUCAUAUUAUCUACUUAACCUUCCAAGAUCGUUACUCAUUUAAUUGUAAACCCCAAGAAAAGAUCAUAAGGUAGGGGCUAUACUAGACAGCCAUAACAAUAAAGAAAAAUUUUUUUCACAAUUGUAUAUGUAAUAUACAUUUCACAAAUCUAUAUGUAAUAUCAAAAGUCAAUUUUAAAUGUUUUAACUUAAGCCCCUUGAAUUUGAAAUAAUUGUGCUCUUUUGGUAAUUAUUCCCAAUACAAAAAUGGUACUUGCAUGAUAAUGUUUAUGUAUUUAUACACAAACAUAUAUUUACCUAUGACAUUUAUGUAGCUACUUAGAAACAGAUCAUAUAGGUCAAAAGUGACAUAAUAAAGCCUCCAGCUGUGGGUAGCAAAGUUUUGUAUUUUAUUUUGUUCUGUGGCUUAGAUGCAAAUACUCUCCUUCCUUGUAAAAGAGUAACUCUAACUAGUGAUUUCAAGGUCAUUAAAGCCUUGUGCCCUGAUAGGAGGUUGGACAGCACACAAAACACAUCCUCCAUGGGGUUAGGGUCCUGCAGGAACUGAAUUCUCCAUACCAAAACAGGUUAUUUGGCUUGUUUAAUUAGUUGUUCUAUAAAUUAGAGCUUCUUCAAGCUCCAGAAGAAGUUUCCCAUCUUGACACUGUCUAAAGAAAAAUCUUAAAUGAAAAAAUUAUUCUCAAUCUGGUUCUUAUUCUCUCAUUUAUUUCUACAGGAUUAAAGCAAAAAUAAAAGCACUUUUUUUACUCCCA
Long non-coding RNA from Cavia porcellus (domestic guinea pig), 1560 nucleotides. RefSeq lists it as uncharacterized. Lineage: Eukaryota; Metazoa; Chordata; Mammalia; Rodentia; Caviidae. The transcript has 2 exons. The record is from RefSeq and is a predicted model, not a curated record.